RNAcentral lists this ribosomal RNA (525 nucleotides) under uncultured bacterium. RNAcentral's name for it is "bacterial SSU rRNA". It matches the Rfam family "Bacterial small subunit ribosomal RNA", at positions 7 to 518 of the family's 1533-position model. The record is from RNAcentral.
GAGAGUUGAUCAUGGCUCAGAUUGAACGCUGGCGGCGUGCUUAACACAUGCAAGUCGCGCGUGAAAGGACUUCGGUCCGAGUAAAGCGGCGCACGGGUGAGUAACGCGUGGAUGAUCUACCCAUGAGUUAGGAAUAACGGCUGGAAACGGUCGCUAAUACCAAAUACGCUCCGAUUUCAACUUCGGGGGAAAGGUGGCCUCUGCUUGCAAGCUACUGCUCAUGGAUGAGUCCGCGUCCCAUUAGCUAGUUGGUGGGGUAACGGCCCACCAAGGCGACGAUGGGUAGCCGGUCUGAGAGGAUGACCGGCCACACUGGGACUGGAACACGGCCCAGACUCCUACGGGAGGCAGCAGUGGGGAAUAUUGCGCAAUGGGCGAAAGCCUGACGCAGCGACGCCGCGUGAGGGAUGAAGGUCCUCGGAUCGUAAACCUCUGUCAGGAGGGAAGAACCGCCACGGUGCUAAUCAGCCGUGGUCUGACGGUACCUCCAAAGGAAGCACCGGCUAACUCCGUGCCAGCCGCCGC